This is a long non-coding RNA of Mobula hypostoma (lesser devil ray), 1255 nucleotides long. RefSeq lists it as uncharacterized. The transcript is spliced from 4 exons. NCBI's taxonomy places the organism in Eukaryota, Metazoa, Chordata, Chondrichthyes, Myliobatiformes, Myliobatidae. The record is from RefSeq and is a predicted model, not a curated record.
GGUGGUCGGACAUAAGGGAAUCCGCCCAGCCUGUUGUUCGCAGGCAGGUUGGUUUGAGCGGAAAGCUGGGUUUUUCAUUGAGUAACAUAACCAGGCAGACAGACGACUGAAGAAGCGACGUUUUCCCUCAAUCUCACUGCAUACAAAGAGCGAAAAAAAAUGAAUUUGGAUUAACGUCGCACUUAAAAAAAAAGCCAAAACAGAUUUAUUGUUUUAAAUAUCCAGUUAAGCCACUCAUUUUAAUGCAUCAGAAUUAGCUUCCACCCUUCCUCCAGCUAAAGCUUUGUUUUGUAAAGGGAAAAUGCCUUACUGUAUUUACUGUUGUCCAUAAUGGAACUACUUUUACUCUCAUCAAAGCAAAAUGGGCUGCAUAAAAAAUGACACUCAAACGCUACUGCCUCGUAUGCAACUUAUUUCCUGGAUUGGAGAAUGGAAAAGUUGACUCUUAUACAUUGCUGAUGCAUUUCUAGCAGGCUACAACAGAUGCAAGAAAUCUGAUUCCCUCGGAAGUAUACUAUCCCAGGUAAAGUCUGCAACAACAAAGCAAGUAAUAUGACAGAUGCAAGAUGAAUGCUGAACCUUCAACAAAGACUUUUCUGCCAGUCUGUUACAGCAAUCUACUGGCCUUUUGGAUCAGGCCAAGUAAAUAUUGCAUGGAAUAAUGUUGUAGCUGUAUCGAGAACAAAUGAUAAACUAGUUAGUUUUAUCUUCAUUCCAGUCUGAAAAAAAUCAUUCCAUGUUCAGUUUUCUCCCCCAUAUAGUUCUUCCAACAUCAAGAAUUUUCAUGACCCAGAACAUUUUCAAAUGUUGCAUAUUCUCAAAAUUAUAAACAACCUUUGUAAAUGUAUAACCAACAUUGAACAAACAUUCCUAUUGUGCGUGUAUAAAUAGCAUACAUUUUGUUUUUGACAAAUAUGCAAUAUUACUUCUGAUCUGACAUGCAGAUAAAACAAAUUCUUAUUGUACUUAAAGUAAAAUGUAUUCUUCUUAUCAUUGUUUUCAAUUUCAUCUUUUGAACUUCUGCAUCUGGAUAUGAUUACUUACUUGCAUAUGUGAUUUUAACGUUUCCAAACGCACUCAUGUAUUGCACUCCUUGUUCAUGAGUUUAGCUUCUUUAAUUGAUUUAUACAAUCAAAACAGUUCUUUUGAUUCAGUCUGCAUUAAAGAUAAUGUUCUGUGUAAACCACAGCCCUAAUCCUAUUGACCUAAAAUUCUAUAUUCUUUUACAGUCCUUGGAUUAGAUAUGCUGAUUAAC